AAGCGUUCCCAUUCUUUUUUCCGUUUUUACCUCUUCUUGCAAGCAUUGUGAGCGCUGAUACGGAGAUCGCAAGAUGCAAUGCGGUGUGACUGUCCUCUCUGUGCAAACGGUUAAGUCCGUACGAAGCGGCAGGCAAUGGAUGGUUUACAGGAUUUCAGUCAGUUUUCAGGUAAGUAGACGAUGUAUCGGAUAUGCUUUUGUGAAUGUUAAGCGUUCCCAUUCUUUUUUCCGUUUUUACCUCUUCUUGCAAGCAUUGUGAGCGCUGAUACGGAGAUCGCAAGAUGCAAUGCGGUGUGACUGUCCUCUCUGUGCAAACGGUUAAGUCCGUACGAAGCGGCAGGCAAUGGAUGGUUUACAGGAUUUCAGUCAGUUUUCAGGUAAGUAGACGAUGUAUCGGAUAUGCUUUUGUGAAUGUUAAGCGUUCCCAUUCUUUUUUCCGUUUUUACCUCUUCUUGCAAGCAUUGUGAGCGCUGAUACGGAGAUCGCAAGAUGCAAUGCGGUGUGACUGUCCUCUCUGUGCAAACGGUUAAGUCCGUACGAAGCGGCAGGCAAUGGAUGGUUUACAGGAUUUCAGUCAGUUUUCAGGUAAGUAGACGAUGUAUCGGAUAUGCUUUUGUGAAUGUUAAGCGUUCCCAUUCUUUUUUCCGUUUUUACCUCUUCUUGCAAGCAUUGUGAGCGCUGAUACGGAGAUCGCAAGAUGCAAUGCGGUGUGACUGUCCU
Long non-coding RNA from Ornithodoros turicata, 720 nucleotides. RefSeq lists it as uncharacterized. The transcript is spliced from 4 exons. Lineage: Eukaryota; Metazoa; Arthropoda; Arachnida; Ixodida; Argasidae. The record is from RefSeq and is a predicted model, not a curated record.